GUGCUUGGUUUGGCAGGACAUAUACUAAAAUUGGAACUAUACAGAGAAGAUUAGCAUGGCCCGUGUGCAAGGAUGACAAGUAAAUUUGUGCCAUAUUUUACAUUUUC
Small nuclear RNA from Balaenoptera musculus (blue whale), 107 nucleotides. NCBI's taxonomy places the organism in Eukaryota, Metazoa, Chordata, Mammalia, Artiodactyla, Balaenopteridae. The record is from Ensembl.